AUUGAACGCUGGCGGCAUGCCUUACACAUGCAAGUCGAACGGCAGCACGGGAGCAAUCCUGGUGGCGAGUGGCGAACGGGUGAGUAAUAUAUCGGAACGUGCCCAGUCGUGGGGGAUAACGUAGCGAAAGCUACGCUAAUACCGCAUACGAUCUACGGAUGAAAGCGGGGGAUCGCAAGACCUCGCGCGAUUGGAGCGGCCGAUAUCAGAUUAGGUAGUUGGUGAGGUAAAGGCUCACCAAGCCGACGAUCUGUAGCUGGUCUGAGAGGACGACCAGCCACACUGGGACUGAGACACGGCCCAGACUCCUACGGGAGGCAGCAGUGGGGAAUUUUGGACAAUGGGCGCAAGCCUGAUCCAGCAAUGCCGCGUGCAGGAUGAAGGCCUCGGUUGGUUAACGUUA
RNAcentral lists this ribosomal RNA (403 nucleotides) under uncultured bacterium. Its description in RNAcentral is "bacterial SSU rRNA". It matches the Rfam family "Bacterial small subunit ribosomal RNA", at positions 30 to 435 of the family's 1533-position model. The record is from RNAcentral.